This 27-nucleotide transfer RNA is filed under the name Callimedusa perinesos (orange-spotted leaf frog). RNAcentral's name for it is "partial tRNA-Phe". Lineage: Eukaryota; Metazoa; Chordata; Amphibia; Anura; Hylidae. The record is from RNAcentral.
GAUGAACCCUAUAAAGUUCUUUAGACA